This is a long non-coding RNA of Quercus robur (English oak), 2313 nucleotides long. RefSeq lists it as uncharacterized. The transcript has 2 exons. The record is from RefSeq and is a predicted model, not a curated record. NCBI's taxonomy places the organism in Eukaryota, Viridiplantae, Streptophyta, Magnoliopsida, Fagales, Fagaceae.
CAAAAGCUAACUAAAUUGGGAGUUCUCGUUGAGAGCUAGCUAAUCCCACAUCGUCUAGUUACACGAAGCUAUCUAUGUUUAUAAGCAAGAGCGAGAGUACAAGGCUUGUCCCUUCGGGGACAUCCGAUAAAAUUGGAACGAUACAGAGAAGAUUAGCAUGGCCCCUGCGCAAGGAUGACACGCAUAAAUCGAGAAAUGGUCCAAAUUUUUUUCUUUACCCAAAAUUUCCCAAACCCAUUUGUGAAUUCUUCCAUGGCUUCGUUCUUUUACACUUUCUCUCCAUCUUCACAUACGUUUUGGAGUCUUUCUCAACAGUGCAAUGCCUCCAUGUAGUCAACAACUGUUACAACCCUACAAGCUUACAGCAUACAUCAAGCCCUAACCAUGUGGAGUAAAAAAAAAGGCACCUGUGUAGGCAAUUGGUGGCCCAUUUGGUCUGAUGAGUGUGCACAUUACUGUUCAAUUAGUCGCUCUUGAUAUGCUCCAAACUCCAGGUGGAUGUGCCCCUUCCAUCCCGGCUCCAAACACCUUUUAAGAACAUUACCUGCCUGUGAUGUCCUUAAAAAGGAGAAAUCCUCAGAUACUUUAGAUGUUGAAGCAUUUCCAGCAUUAAGGAGCAAGGUUGAACUUAAUUAUGUAAGGUUAUGGUCCAGGUAAUUUCUGUUGGCUUUGAAAAUCUGGUUGAUUUUGCCACCCUGCCCUACCGGCCAUUUCCUAGCAAUGGGUGACUUUGCUAUGAAAGAGGAUUGACAGGAGAAGCACUGCAAGAGCCAUGGAAAGAGAGAGUGAACUGUUUAGGCUUUUGAUUCCAUUGUUGCUUUGCACACGUAAACAUUGCUUUGAUGUAAAGCAGGGGAAUGAUAUAAUUUCCUAUUACCCAGAUGUCGUUGUUAUUUUAAAACCUAAUGAAAUGUGAUUAGAAUGAUAAACAUUAUUACACAAACGAGAACUGCCUUUGUGUUCUACACAUAUUUUGCCUGGCAAAGUUUAUGAGGAAACUUUUACUCAGAAUCGUCCAUGUGAACCGAACUAGCAUAAGUUGAGAACUUUUACUCAGAAUCGUCCAUGUGAACUGAACUAGCAUAAGUUGAGAACAGUAUUAGAUGGGCUGCUUAACUAGCAAGGGAGGAAUGAUGGCUUGUCGUGGUUUUUGAAGGUGACCCCAAAACCUCCAUGGAUGUUAAUCAACCCAAUUUUACAUGGCAGGUGAUCUAUACAGAUGAGGAGAUUAGGAGGUUGAAAAAAGGAUCAACGAGGUUGGUUUCAACUUCAGUAUCUUGCGAGUUGGGUGCUUUGCCUUUCGUUAUGGUAAAUGCCAAAAGGCUGGAUUGUUGUAUAUAAUGUUUCUUUUGUAUCAUUCUUUUGUAAUUGCCUCCGGAAUAAUUCCUACAAAGGAUACCAUUUUGAGGUUCAACCCAGACAUUGACCCAGCUUGUCCACUAUGUGGUGAAUCUCCUCAAACUUCAGUCCAUAUCUUCAUCCACUGCCAAGCAGCCAGAGCACUAUGGUUUGGUAGUAAUUGGGGAUUCAACCCUCAUGAACUACAUCUCACGUCCACUUGACAACUCAUUGAUCUAUUGUUAUCCCCUAAUUCUACUGUUAUUCCUUCGGACAUUGAAAGGCAAGCUUUCCUAGUAUUCGAAUAACUAACUCUAGAAUGUAUUUUGGAGAUCAAGGAAUUUGGCUCUUUUUGAUAAAGUUGAGAUGAACAUCCAGAAAUCUCUAUGGCAGAUAAGAAGUAGAAUGAAAGAAUACAUGAGGACAGUCCCAGAAUCUUCUUUGUCAAUUCCUAAAUUAAGGGAUGUUAAGUGGUCAAGUCCACCAGAAGGCGCCUUAAAGGUCAACUGCGACACUGCAAUUGGCCAAGACAAAGCUUAUCUUGCUAUUGUUGCCAGAGACUGGAGAGGGACAUUGGUAUUACUAUGUCCAAAAGAGUGGAAAUCAACAUCCCUGUCCAAGCCGAAACUGAAGCUAUCAGCUGGGCUGUACCCCAGCUAGUAAGCCAUAAUAUUCACAAGACCAUUGUAGAAAGUGAUGCCAAGGUAUGCAUUGAAGCCAUGUUAGAAUCAAGCUCUAGGCCUCCAUGGAGAAUUGAGGUGCUGACUGCUGACACUCUUGUCUUUAGCUCAUAGGGUUAAUUCUUUAGAAUUCGAGUGGACCCCAAGAGAAGCUAACAUGGCAGCCCAUGUACUGGCUUCAUGAUCUCUUACUAAUAGAGUAGCUAAUUAUUUUGUAUUGGGAUCAGCCCCUGCUGUUCUUUCUGAUGUAAUUAAUUCUGAGCGAGCAAGCCUUUGUCCUAGGCUCUUUUGUAUA